Molecule: ribosomal RNA, 477 nt
Filed under: uncultured bacterium
Lineage: Bacteria
Description: partial 16S ribosomal RNA
Rfam family: Bacterial small subunit ribosomal RNA
Source: RNAcentral
AUGAACGCUAGCGGCAGGCUUAACACAUGCCAGUCGAGGGGUAUUUAUCUUCGGAUAGAGAGACCGGCGCACGGGUGCGUAACGCGUAUGCAAUCUACCUUUUACAGAGGGAUAGCCCAGAGAAAUUUGGAUUAAUACCUCAUAGUAUAUAGACUCGGCAUCGAGAUUAUAUUAAAGUCACAACGGUAAAAGAUGAGCAUGCGUCCCAUUAGCUAGUUGGUAAGGUAACGGCUUACCAAGGCUACGAUGGGUAGGGGUCCUGAGAGGGAGAUCCCCCACACUGGUACUGAGACACGGACCAGACUCCUACGGGAGGCAGCAGUGAGGAAUAUUGGACAAUGGGCGCAAGCCUGAUCCAGCCAUGCCGCGUGCAGGAUGACGGUCCUAUGGAUUGUAAACUGCUUUUAUACGAGAAGAAACACUGCUACGUGUAGCAGCUUGACGGUAUCGUAAGAAUAAGGAUCGGCUAACUCCGUG